AUUGAACGCUGGCGGCAGGCUUAACACAUGCAAGUCGAGCGAGCGGCGGACGGGUGAGUCAUGUCUGGGAAACUGCCUGCUGGAGGGGGAUAACUACUGGAAACGGUAGCUAAUACCGCAUACCAUCAGAUGUGCCCAGAUGGGAUGAGCUAGUAGGUGGGGUAAUGGCUCACCUAGGCGACGAGCCCUAUCUGGUCUGCGAGGGUGAACAGGCACACGGGAACAGAGACACGGUCCAGACUCCUACGUGAGGCAGCAGUGGGGAAUAUUGCACAAUGGGCGCAAGCCUGAUGCAGCCAUGCCGCGUGUGUGAAGAAGGACUUCGGGUUGUAAAGCACUUUCAGCGAGGAGGCGUUACUCGCAGAAGAAGCACCGGCUAACUCCGUGCCAGCAGCCGCGGUAAUUC
RNAcentral lists this ribosomal RNA (406 nucleotides) under uncultured bacterium. RNAcentral describes it as "partial 16S ribosomal RNA". It matches the Rfam family "Bacterial small subunit ribosomal RNA", at positions 30 to 526 of the family's 1533-position model. The record is from RNAcentral.